This 482-nucleotide ribosomal RNA is filed under the name uncultured bacterium. RNAcentral's name for it is "partial 16S ribosomal RNA". It matches the Rfam family "Bacterial small subunit ribosomal RNA", at positions 30 to 507 of the family's 1533-position model. The record is from RNAcentral.
AUUGAACGCUGGCGGCAUGCCUUACACAUGCAAGUCGAACGGUAACAGGCCGCAAGGUGCUGACGAGUGGCGAACGGGUGAGUAAUGCAUCGGAACGUGCCCAGUCGUGGGGGAUAACUACUCGAAAGAGUAGCUAAUACCGCAUACGAUCUAUGGAUGAAAGCGGGGGACCGUAAGGCCUCGCGCGAUUGGAGCGGCCGAUGUCAGAUUAGGUAGUUGGUGGGGUAAAGGCUCACCAAGCCAACGAUCUGUAGCUGGUCUGAGAGGACGACCAGCCGCACUGGGACUGAGACACGGCCCAGACUCCUACGGGAGGCAGCAGUGGGGAAUUUUGGACAAUGGGCGCAAGCCUGAUCCAGCAAUGCCGCGUGCAGGAAGAAGGCCUUCGGGUUGUAAACUGCUUUUGUACGGAACGAAACGGCUCUGGUUAAUACCCGGGGCUAAUGACGGUACCGUAAGAAUAAGCACCGGCUAACUACGUG